AGAGUUUGAUCCUGGCUCAGAUUGAACGCUGGCGGCAUGCUUUACACAUGCAAGUCGAACGGCAGCGGGGGCUUCGGUCCGCCGGCGAGUGGCGAACGGGUGAGUAAUGCAUCGGAACGUACCCAGUCGUGGGGGAUAACGCAGCGAAAGCUGUGCUAAUACCGCAUACGUCCUGAGGGAGAAAGCGGGGGACCUUCGGGCCUCGCGCGAUUGGAGCGGCCGAUGUCGGAUUAGCUAGUUGGUGGGGUAAAGGCUCACCAAGGCGACGAUCCGUAGCUGGUCUGAGAGGAUGAUCAGCCACACUGGGACUGAGACACGGCCCAGACUCCUACGGGAGGCAGCAGUGGGGAAUUUUGGACAAUGGGGGCAACCCUGAUCCAGCCAUGCCGCGUGAGUGAAGAAGGCCUUCGGGUUGUAAAGCUCUUUCAGUCGGGAAGAAACGGAGCGCUCUAACAUAGCGCUCUACUGACGGUACCGACAGAAGAAGCACCGGCUAACUACGUGCCAGCAGCCGC
RNAcentral lists this ribosomal RNA (515 nucleotides) under uncultured Pseudomonadota bacterium. Its description in RNAcentral is "bacterial SSU rRNA". It matches the Rfam family "Bacterial small subunit ribosomal RNA", at positions 8 to 518 of the family's 1533-position model. The record is from RNAcentral. Lineage: Bacteria; Pseudomonadati; Pseudomonadota.